Molecule: ribosomal RNA, 383 nt
Filed under: Shigella sonnei
Lineage: Bacteria; Pseudomonadati; Pseudomonadota; Gammaproteobacteria; Enterobacterales; Enterobacteriaceae
Description: bacterial SSU rRNA
Rfam family: Bacterial small subunit ribosomal RNA
Source: RNAcentral
AAAUUGAAGAGUUUGAUCAUGGCUCAGAUUGAACGCUGGCGGCAGGCCUAACACAUGCAAGUCGAACGGUAACAGGAAGCAGCUUGCUGCUUCGCUGACGAGUGGCGGACGGGUGAGUAAUGUCUGGGAAACUGCCUGAUGGAGGGGGAUAACUACUGGAAACGGUAGCUAAUACCGCAUAAUGUCGCAAGACCAAAGAGGGGGACCUUCGGGCCUCUUGCCAUCGGAUGUGCCCAGAUGGGAUUAGCUUGUUGGUGGGGUAACGGCUCACCAAGGCGACGAUCCCUAGCUGGUCUGAGAGGAUGACCAGCCACACUGGAACUGAGACACGGUCCAGACUCCUACGGGAGGCAGCAGUGGGGAAUAUUGCACAAUGGGCGCAA